This 253-nucleotide ribosomal RNA is filed under the name uncultured bacterium. RNAcentral's name for it is "partial 16S ribosomal RNA". It matches the Rfam family "Bacterial small subunit ribosomal RNA", at positions 524 to 776 of the family's 1533-position model. The record is from RNAcentral.
UACGUAGGGUGCGAGCGUUGUCCGGAAUUAUUGGGCGUAAAGAGCUUGUAGGCGGUCUGUCGCGUCUGCUGUGAAAAUCCGGGGCUCAACCCCGGACUUGCAGUGGGUACGGGCAGACUAGAGUGUGGUAGGGGAGACUGGAAUUCCUGGUGUAGCGGUGAAAUGCGCAGAUAUCAGGAGGAACACCGAUGGCGAAGGCAGGUCUCUGGGCCACUACUGACGCUCAGGCACGAAAGCGUGGGGAGCAAACAGG